AGAGCGAACGCUGGCGGCAGGCCUAACACAUGCAAGUCGAGCGGCCGUAGCAAUACGGCAGCGGCAGACGGGAGAGUAACACGUGGGAACGCGCCCUUCGGUUCGGAAUAACUCAGGGAAACUUGGGCUAAUACCGGAUACGCCCUUACGGGGAAAGAUUUAUUGCCGAAGGAACGGCCCGCGUCCGAUUAGCUUGUUGGUGAGGUAACGGCUCACCAAGGCGACGAUCGGUAGCUGGUCUGAGAGGAUGACCAGCCUCACUGGGACUGAGACACGGCCCAGACUCCUACGGGAGGCAGCAGUGGGGAAUAUUGGACAAUGGGCGCAAGCCUGAUCCAGCCAUGCCGCGUGGGUGAUGAAGGCCCUAGGGUUGUAAAGCCCUUUCGGCGGGAAGAUAAUGACGGUACCCGCAGAAGAAGCCCCGGCUAACGUUCGCGCCAGCAGCCGC
This 448-nucleotide ribosomal RNA is filed under the name uncultured bacterium. Its description in RNAcentral is "SSU rRNA". It matches the Rfam family "Bacterial small subunit ribosomal RNA", at positions 26 to 518 of the family's 1533-position model. The record is from RNAcentral.